AUUGAACGCUGGCGGCAGGCCUAACACAUGCAAGUCGAGCGGAUGAACGGAGCUUGCUCCUGGAUCCAGCGGCGGACGGGUGAGUAAUGCCUAGGAAACUUCCUCGUAGUGUGGGAUAACGCCCGGAAACGGGCGCUAAUACCUCAUACGUCCUGAGUGAGAAAGUGGGGGAUCUUAGGACCUCUCGCUAUCAGAUGAGCCUAGGUCGGAUUAGCUAGUUGGUGGGGUAAUGGCCUACCAAGGCGACGAUCCGUAACUGGCCUGAGAGGAUGAUCAGUCACACUGAGACUGAGCCACGGCCCAGACUCCUAGGGGAGGCAGAGGUGGGGAAUAUUGGACGAUGGGCGGAAGACUGAUCCAGCCAUGCCGCGUGUGUGAAGAAGGUCUUCGGAUUGUAAAGCGCUUUACGUGGGGAGGAAGGGUAGUACGUUAAUACCUUCCUGUUGUGACGUUACCAAGAGAAUAAGCACCGGCUAACUUCGUG
Molecule: ribosomal RNA, 484 nt
Filed under: uncultured bacterium
Lineage: Bacteria
Description: partial 16S ribosomal RNA
Rfam family: Bacterial small subunit ribosomal RNA
Source: RNAcentral